Long non-coding RNA from Magnolia sinica, 212 nucleotides. RefSeq lists it as uncharacterized. The record is from RefSeq and is a predicted model, not a curated record. The transcript has 3 exons. NCBI's taxonomy places the organism in Eukaryota, Viridiplantae, Streptophyta, Magnoliopsida, Magnoliales, Magnoliaceae.
GUAAGAUCCCUGAUUUCAUCGGGAACUGGACACGACUCAAGAGGCUGCAUAUGCAAGGCACAUCUAUGACGGGACCUAUUCCUUCCAACAUCUCUUUCUUGGUGAAUCUAACUGAACUGAGGAUAUCUGAUUUGAAUGGAUCGAGCAUGCCUUUCCCUGCAUUGGGGGAUAUGACCAAAAUGCAGAAAUUGUGAGUUGAAUGGAUAUACCCC